This 833-nucleotide ribosomal RNA is filed under the name uncultured Azorhizobium sp. RNAcentral describes it as "bacterial SSU rRNA". It matches the Rfam family "Bacterial small subunit ribosomal RNA", at positions 44 to 923 of the family's 1533-position model. Lineage: Bacteria; Pseudomonadati; Pseudomonadota; Alphaproteobacteria; Hyphomicrobiales; Xanthobacteraceae. The record is from RNAcentral.
CGGCCACACAUGCAAGUCGAGCGCCCGGCAACGGGAGCGGCAGACGGGUGAGUAACGCGUGGGGAUCUGCCCGAUGGUACGGAAUAGCUCUGGGAAACUGGAAUUAAUACCGUAUAAGCCCGCAAGGGGAAAGAUUUAUUGCCAUCGGAUGAACCCGCGUCAGAUUAGCUAGUUGGUGGGGUAAAGGCUCACCAAGGCGACGAUCUGUAGCUGGUCUGAGAGGAUGAUCAGCCACACUGGGACUGAGACACGGCCCAGACUCCUACGGGAGGCAGCAGUGGGGAAUAUUGGACAAUGGGCGCAAGCCUGAUCCAGCCAUGCCGCGUGAGUGAUGAAGGCCUUAGGGUUGUAAAGCUCUUUCGCCGGUGAAGAUAAUGACGGUAACCGGAGAAGAAGCCCCGGCUAACUUCGUGCCAGCAGCCGCGGUAAUACGAAGGGGGCAAGCGUUGCUCGGAAUCACUGGGCGUAAAGCGCACGUAGGCGGGUCGUUAAGUCAGAGGUGAAAGCCUGGAGCUCAACUCCAGAACUGCCUUUGAUACUGGCGACCUAGAGUUCGAGAGAGGUUGGUGGAACUCCGAGUGUAGAGGUGAAAUUCGUAGAUAUUCGGAAGAACACCAGUGGCGAAGGCGGCCAACUGGCUCGAUACUGACGCUGAGGUGCGAAAGCGUGGGGGAGCAAACAGGAUUAGAUACCCUGGUAGUCCACGCCGUAAACGAUGGAUGCUAGCCGUUGGGGGAGCUUGCUCUUCAAGGGGCGCAGCUAACGCCUUAAGCAUCCCGCCUGGGGGAGUACGGUCGCAAGAUUAAAACUCAAAGGAAAUUGACGGGGGCCCC